GACGAACGCUGGCGGCGUGCUUAACACAUGCAAGUCGAACGGACAGGCCCUGCUUUUGUGGGGUUCUCGAGUGGCGAACGCGUGAGUAACACGUGUGUAACCUGUCCUUGACUUUGGGAUAACUUCCGGAAACUGGGGCUAAUACCGGAUAGGAGCACCUGCUGCAUGGUGGGGGUUGGAAAGUUUCGGCGGUUGGGGAUGGAUUCGAGGCUUAUCAGCUUGUUGGCGGGGUAGUGGCUUACCAAGGCAGUGACGGGUAGCCGGCACGAGAGGGUGACCGGCGACAUUGGGACUGAGAGAGGGCGCAGAAGCGUACGGGAGGCAGUAGUGGGGAAUAUGGCGCAGUGGGCGGAAGCGUGAUGUAGCAACGCCGCGUGCGUGAUGCCGGCUUUCGGGUUGUAAACCGCUUUCGACUGAGACGAAGCGGGAGUGACGGUAAUGGGUAAAGAAGCACCGGCUAACUACGUG
RNAcentral lists this ribosomal RNA (468 nucleotides) under uncultured bacterium. RNAcentral's name for it is "partial 16S ribosomal RNA". It matches the Rfam family "Bacterial small subunit ribosomal RNA", at positions 28 to 507 of the family's 1533-position model. The record is from RNAcentral.